CAGAGUAGCAGCUGUGUUAGUCUGUAUUCGCAAAAAGAGGAGUGCUUGUGGCACCUUAGAGACUAGCAGGUUUGUUGGAGCAUGGGCUUUCGUGGGCUACAGCUCACUUCAUCGGAUGCAUCCGAUGGGGUGAGCUGUGGCUCGCGAGGGCUUGUGCUCUGGUGAAUUUGUUGGUCUCUGGGGUGCCACAAGUACUCCUUUUCUUUUUCAGAAUACAGACUAACACGGCUGCUACUCUGAAACCUCUCCUUACAAGCAGGAGAUAUGUUCAUACUAAAAGCA
Molecule: long non-coding RNA, 282 nt
Organism: Dermochelys coriacea (leatherback sea turtle)
Lineage: Eukaryota; Metazoa; Chordata; Testudines; Dermochelyidae
Exons: 6
Source: RefSeq, a predicted model, not a curated record